Molecule: ribosomal RNA, 617 nt
Filed under: uncultured bacterium
Lineage: Bacteria
Description: bacterial SSU rRNA
Rfam family: Bacterial small subunit ribosomal RNA
Source: RNAcentral
AUUGAACGCUGGCGGCAUGCUUUACACAUGCAAGUCGAACGGCAGCGGGGGCUUCGGCCUGCCGGCGAGUGGCGAACGGGUGAGUAAUGCAUCGGAACGUGCCCAUGUCGUGGGGGAUAACGUAGCGAAAGCUACGCUAAUACCGCAUACGUCCUGAGGGAGAAAGCGGGGGAUCUUCGGACCUCGCGCGAUUGGAGCGGCCGAUGUCGGAUUAGCUAGUUGGUGAGGUAAAGGCUCACCAAGGCGACGAUCCGUAGCGCGUCUGAAAGGAUGAUCCGCCACACUGGGACUGAGACACGGCCCACACUCCUACGGGAGGCAGCAGUGGGGAAUUUUGGACAAUGGGCGCAAGCCUGAUCCAGCCAUGCCGCGUGAGUGAAGAAGGCCUUCGGGUUGUAAAGCUCUUUCGGCCGGAAAAAAAUCGGCGGCUCUAACAUAGCCGCUGGAUGACGGUACCGGACUAAGAAGCACCGGCUAACUACGUGCCAGCAGCCGCGGUAAUACGUAGGGUGCGAGCGUUAAUCGGAAUUACUGGGCGUAAAGCGUGCGCAGGCGUUUUUUAUAAGACAGAUAUGACAUCCCCGGGCUUAACCUGAGAACUGCGUUUGUGACUGCAA